This 392-nucleotide ribosomal RNA is filed under the name uncultured bacterium. RNAcentral describes it as "bacterial SSU rRNA". It matches the Rfam family "Bacterial small subunit ribosomal RNA", at positions 524 to 916 of the family's 1533-position model. The record is from RNAcentral.
UACGAAGGGUGCAAGCGUUAAUCGGAAUUACUGGGCGUAAAGGGUGCGUAGGCGGCUUUGUAAGUCAGAUUUGAAAUCCCCGGGCUUAACCUGGUAAUUGCGUUUGAAACUGCAGGGCUAGAGUGCGGCAGAGGGAGGUGGAAUUCCAUGUGUAGCAGUGAAAUGCGUAGAGAUAUGGAAGAACAUCGAUGGCGAAGGCAACCUCCUGGGCUAGCACUGACGCUCAUGCACGAAAGCGUGGGGAGCAAACAGGAUUAGAUAACCUGGUAGUCCACGACCUAAACUAUGUCAACUAGUUGUCGGAUCUUAUUGGAUUUGGUAACGUAGCUAACGCGUGAAGUUGAACGCCUGGGGAGUACGGUCGCAAGAUUAAAACUUAAAUGAAUUGACGG